GCGGAGGAAAAGAAACCAACAGGGAUUACCUCAGUAACGGCGAGUGAAGCGGUAACAGCUCAAAUUUGAAAGCUAGCUCUUCUAGGGUUCGCGUUGUAAUUUGCAGAAGAUGCUUCGGGUGUGGCCCCGGUCUAAGUUCCUUGGAACAGGACGUCAUAGAGGGUGAGAAUCCCGUACGUGACUGGGUGCCUUCGCUCAUGUGAAGCUCUUUCGACGAGUCGAGUUGUUUGGGAAUGCAGCUCAAAAUGGGUGGUAAAUUUCAUCUAAAGCUAAAUAUUGGCCAGAGACCGAUAGCGCACAAGUAGAGUGAUCGAAAGAUGAAAAGCACUUUGGAAAGAGAGUUAAACAGUACGUGAAAUUGUUGAAAGGGAAGCGCUUGCAACCAGACUUGCGCGCUGAUGAUCAUCCGGGUUUCUGCCCGGUGCACUCGUCUGCGCUCAGGCCAGCAUCGGUUUCGGUGGUGGGAUAAAGGCCUUGGGAAUGUAGCUUCUCUCGGGGAGUGUUAUAGCCCUCGGUGCAAUGCCGCCUACCGGGACCGAGGACCGCGCUUCGGCUAGGAUGCUGGCGUAAUGGUUGUAAGCGACCCGUCUUGAAACACGGACCAAGGAGUCUAACAUCUAUGCGAGUGUUUGGGUGUCAAACCCAUACGCGUAAUGAAAGUGAACGGAGGUGAGAACCCUUAAGGGUGCAUCAUCGACCGAUCCUGAUGUCUUCGGAUGGAUUUGAGUAAGAGCAUAGCUGUUGGGACCCGAAAGAUGGUGAACUAUGCGUGAAUAGGGUGAAGCCAGAGGAAACUCUGGUGGAGGCUCGCAGCGGUUCUGACGUGCAAAUCGAUCGUCAAAUUUGCGUAU
This 851-nucleotide small RNA is filed under the name Cadophora sp. 1 NV-2015. RNAcentral's name for it is "eukaryotic LSU rRNA". It matches the Rfam family "Eukaryotic large subunit ribosomal RNA", at positions 50 to 918 of the family's 3401-position model. The record is from RNAcentral. Lineage: Eukaryota; Fungi; Ascomycota; Leotiomycetes; Helotiales; Ploettnerulaceae.